GCAUGGCCGAAUUCUGAUUUACUCGUGAAGUAGUAAACUCAGUCAGACACCAUGCGAAAUAAACAAUUUUCACAGACUUUACAAUGAAUGAGCAAUCCCUCAACUCAUUCUGCUGUCAGUGAUUAACAUU
Syngnathus typhle (broad-nosed pipefish) is the source of this 130-nucleotide small nucleolar RNA. RefSeq annotates it as small nucleolar RNA SNORA15. NCBI's taxonomy places the organism in Eukaryota, Metazoa, Chordata, Actinopteri, Syngnathiformes, Syngnathidae. The record is from RefSeq and is a predicted model, not a curated record. The transcript has a single exon.